Molecule: long non-coding RNA, 519 nt
Organism: Zonotrichia leucophrys gambelii
Lineage: Eukaryota; Metazoa; Chordata; Aves; Passeriformes; Passerellidae
Exons: 3
Source: RefSeq, a predicted model, not a curated record
GGAAGAGUCAGUGCCUGGAGGAGCUGCCUACAAGAAACAGCAAGGAGAUGAGAUAUCACGAAUAGCAUCCUUCCUUCACCAAAAAAAUCAGUAAAGCAAUUAAUUUUAACAGGUUGGAAGAAUUGAGAAACAGAGCGAUUUCAUGGUAUAUAGCCGCCACAUGGCAUCUUACUGGCUAAUACAAGACUAAAGCAGUGGAAAAUGAGGGGAGAAGUCAAUGUAUUAUUCCACAGUAUGAUAAAUCACACUGGGAAAUAUUGAAUAGUUGUAGUUACUACCAGAGCACAGGAGUACUAUGAAAUUUCUUGCUUUAUUUUAUGAAGCAUUGAACGGUUCAAAACAACUAUUGCUUUGAGAUGUCAUCUAUAAAUCAACACAGACCAAUGGCAGCAAAGUGAUGGAUAUCCACCCAUCUAAGAGAUUUGAUCAUAAGACACAAGCUAAAACAGUGACCAGGCAGAGAUAAAUGUUUGUUUUCAGAUUAACAUCCCAAGGUCAGAGUGCCUAGGCAUAUUAAUG